GACGAACGCUGGCGGCGUGCUUAACACAUGCAAGUCGAACGGAAAGGCCCUGCUUUCGUGGGGUGCUCGAGUGGCGAACGGGUGAGUAACACGUGAGUAACCUGCCCUAGACUUUGGGAUAACUUCAGGAAACUGGGGCUAAUACCGGAUAGGAGCUCCUGCUGCAUGGUGGGGGUUGGAAAGUCUCGGCGGUCGGGGAUGGACUCGCGGCUUAUCAGCUUGUUGGUGGGGUAGUGGCUUACCAAGGCAUUGACGGGUAGCCGGCAUGAGAGGGUGACCGGCCACAUGGGGACUAAGAGACGGCCCAGACUCCUACGGGAGGCAGCAGUGGGGAAUAUUGCACAAUGGGCGGGAGCCUGAUGCAGCGACGCCGCGUGCGGGAUGACGGCCUUCGGGUUGUGAACCGCUUUCGCCUGUGACGAAGCGUGAGUGACGGUAAUGGGUAAAGAAGCACCGGCUAACUACGUG
Molecule: ribosomal RNA, 468 nt
Filed under: uncultured bacterium
Lineage: Bacteria
Description: partial 16S ribosomal RNA
Rfam family: Bacterial small subunit ribosomal RNA
Source: RNAcentral